Chloebia gouldiae (Gouldian finch) is the source of this 1704-nucleotide long non-coding RNA. Lineage: Eukaryota; Metazoa; Chordata; Aves; Passeriformes; Passeridae. The record is from Ensembl.
UGCUUUGGAGCUGGACAUACUUUGGUGCCUUCAGGACAGAAGCAGCCAGCAAUAAACCACCCUGGAUAGUGUGCUCCUGUUUGCCAGCAGGCGACUGUCCCUAAAGUGUCUACAAUGACAGAGCACAGUACAUCUUCUGAAAGAAGGCACAGAGGUGCUGUGCUUGGGUGCCUCCAACAGUGUGCAGGGACAUCCAUGUGGUCUACAUCCUGAUUCUCUUCUGGUUACUGCUUCCUAGGGAGGAGAUCACUCCUGCCCCAUGAGCCUGCCUUACUGAUGAUCCCAUCAGAGGCCUUCAUUCACCGAGAUGUCCAGAGGUGGGAUGCCAGGAGAGCAGUACCAGCAUGAUCCUCUCUGUCCUCCCCUUGCCAGAAUGAGUCUUGGACGUGGGAGAACAGACCCAACAGCUGCCCUCUGAAGCACAUGUGCACAUUGUUGGAGAAAAAUGCAGCCAGCUCAGGCAACCUCAGAGCUGCUUAAUGAAUUUUGACUUGUACUAAUUUGCCAAACUUUCGACUGAAUUAAAUUGGCACUGGCUGAUGCAGUUUUUUUCAUUUACACUGCUCAGUCUGGAACAAAAUGAAAGGCAAGUGUUUUUGACUGAAACCUGGCAUGAGCCCCCUUCCACCAGCCUCAGUUCUCUGUCAUACAGGAUGCUGUCCAGCAGUGUGGCCAGUUUGCACAUGGUCUGCAUCUGGGUCAAGAAUGCAUGUUAUUAAAGAAGGCAACGCCCUUGGCAACCACUUCAUCCUUCAAGGUGGUAGCCCUUGGGCUUCUUAGUGUCUCUUAUUGCAUCAAAGGUGCUGUUACAUAGUGAACUGAAGGUUAUCCUCUUUCCAUGGAAUUCUCCAGGCACAUCCCUUGGGUGAAGAACUACAGACCUUCUAUUAGCACAUCCUCUAGCAAGCUCUGCAUCAUUCUCACAUCAUGCACUCUGCCCAGCCGAGUCUUGUGUGCUCAGACCUCUCUUCAGCCCCAGAAAGGGCAGGAACAAGGGUACAUGUAUAGCAGAAGCUCAAGAUCUUUGGGAAACUCCUGAGUGACAGAGCAGAGGGAGCGUCGGCAAAGCAUCUCAGAGAAGCAACCUUUUGUUAUACCUACAGCUUCAACCAACACGGAAAUAAUCACAAUAAUAAGACUCACAGAGUUAAUUGAUUGACCAUUUUGUGACCAUUGCAGCCAGCUUGGCCAUAGCUGGGUUACUGCAUCUUGUGUCCCCAUGAUUUCUUACAGGGAAAGAAGCACCUGAAAUACCUCAGGAUAUUUAGGAUUGGUUCCCCUGGCUGGUUCUCUCAACAGUUCACUCCAUUCUGGCUUUUUUUCCAUAUCUGCUAGAAGGCCAUACCAACAUGUUCAUUUUUCUUGUGCUGUCCUCCAUGCUCUGCGCUGAGGGACUAUAUUUGAAAUCAGUGAGUGAGCUCUGUGUUAAGAAAUAGCUCUGGCACUAAAAUGCUUAAAAUUACUCUUUGUUUCUCUGACUUCUCUCCAAAUUUGGAUUAUCCCCCCAGACUUGCCCACAAGAUGGAAUACUAAGAAAAUAUUGUUUUGUUUAAUUUAUUUUUUGAUGUCCGCAUUUCUCACAUUUCCUCUUCCAAUUUCAAAGUGAGUCUGAGCUCCUCCACUAACAUUGCUUCAGCUGUUAUUUUGGGGAUCUGAGAGAGGGGAUUAAAAAUAAACGAAGUGCGGGUAAUGCGUUUCUUGCCA